RNAcentral lists this ribosomal RNA (253 nucleotides) under uncultured bacterium. RNAcentral's name for it is "partial 16S ribosomal RNA". It matches the Rfam family "Bacterial small subunit ribosomal RNA", at positions 524 to 776 of the family's 1533-position model. The record is from RNAcentral.
CACGUAAGGGGCAAGCGUUGUUCGGAAUUAUUGGGCGUAAAGGGUACGUAGGCGGUUUUGUAAGCCCGGCGUGAAAUACUGGAGCUCAACUCCAGAACUGCGUUGGGAACUGCAAGACUUGAGUCAUGGAAGGGGAGUUGGAAUUCCAGGUGUAGGGGUGAAAUCUGUAGAUAUCUGGAAGAACACCGGUGGCGAAGGCGAACUCCUGGCCAAUGACUGACGCUGAGGUACGAAAGUGCGGGGAGCAAACAGG